GUUUUGUGUUGGGUAGUCGCUCCCAAUUUUGUUCAAACAAUUUUGGCAGAGGAAAGUCCGAACACUUGCUUUUUUAUAAAAUGCAGAAGGGUACAGGCUAACCGCCUGCCGUGGCAACACGAGAGGUGCGAACAGAAACGACCCGGUUAAGUCCGGCUGAAACGUGCUAAAUCCUUACCCAAGUGCAAGGCCGUGUCCCGCUUAGCGGGAAGUGCCGCUUGACCCGCCAGGUAACUGGCGAGGCAGAUAAAUGACUACCGCCCCGCUUAGCGGGGUACAGAAUUCGGCUUAUAGACACAAAACACCC
RNAcentral lists this RNase P RNA (307 nucleotides) under Patescibacteria group bacterium. RNAcentral's name for it is "RNase P RNA component class A". It matches the Rfam family "Bacterial RNase P class A". From Rfam's summary of the family: Ribonuclease P (RNase P) is a ubiquitous endoribonuclease, found in archaea, bacteria and eukarya as well as chloroplasts and mitochondria. Its best characterised activity is the generation of mature 5'-ends of tRNAs by cleaving the 5'-leader elements of precursor-tRNAs. The record is from RNAcentral.